RNAcentral lists this ribosomal RNA (484 nucleotides) under uncultured bacterium. RNAcentral describes it as "partial 16S ribosomal RNA". It matches the Rfam family "Bacterial small subunit ribosomal RNA", at positions 30 to 507 of the family's 1533-position model. The record is from RNAcentral.
AUUGAACGCUGGCGGCAGGCCUAACACAUGCAAGUCGAGCGGAUGAAGGGAGCUUGCUCCUGGAUUCAGCGGCGGACGGGUGAGUAAUGCCUAGGAAUCUGCCUGGUCGUGGGGGAUAACGUCCGGAAACGGGCGCUAAUACCGCAUACGUCCUGAGGGAGAAAGUGGGGGAUCUUCGGACCUCACGCUAUCAGAUGAGCCUAGGUCGGAUUAGCUAGUUGGUGGGGUAAAGGCCUACCAAGGCGACGAUCCGUAACUGGUCUGAGAGGAUGAUCAGUCACACUGGAACUGAGACACGGUCCAGACUCCUACGGGAGGAAGCAGUGGGGAAUAUUGGACAAUGGGCGAAAGCCUGAUCCAGCCAUGCCGCGUGUGUGAAGAAGGUCUUCGGAUUGUAAAGCACUUUAAGUUGGGAGGAAGGGCAGUAAGUUAAUACCUUGCUGUUUUGACGUUACCAACAGAAUAAGCACCGGCUAACUUCGUG